UAGGAUGUGGAGCUGCCC
This 18-nucleotide unclassified non-coding RNA is filed under the name Chlamydomonas reinhardtii. Its description in RNAcentral is "small RNA Cre_2314". The record is from RNAcentral. Lineage: Eukaryota; Viridiplantae; Chlorophyta; Chlorophyceae; Chlamydomonadales; Chlamydomonadaceae.